AUUGUUUCAUUGAUUUUGAUUUAUUUUAUUUUAUGGAUUUUUUUCUCGUCUUUUUUAACAUUGUUAUCAAUAUUAUUAAUUUUAUGUCCAUACAGUUGGUGAUAUAAAACCAUAUAAAUAGAUGAUUGUGCGUGUCUCCUAAACAAUUUAGAUGACUUGUAACAUUACGAUUUCAUACUUUAAACUCCCUAAGGUCGACAUCUUUCUUUUCAUCAUCACCUUCAUCAUCUUUACUCUGUUUACAUUAUUUACACCAUUAGUUUUGCUUCUGACGGGAAUAAUAAUUUUGUAUAUGUUAGUGUUUAUUAUUAUUACCUCUAUGUUGACUGUAAAUUUUCAACAUGAAACUACAGUCACUUUGAUAAACAUUAUCAGUUACUUGAAAAAGCAUUAAAUGAAAUUUAGGAAACAUAAUAUCUAGACCUUUUGAUUCCAGUGAAGAUGAAACGGACAAACAGAGGAAAAGUAAUGAUCAAAGGCAACCAGAAGAAGCAGGUAAACCAAGGAAACCAAGAAGAGCGGAAAGACACGGAAAAUAAAGACCGAUAAGACCGUAAAGGCCAGAAAGAUUGAUUCAAAUAUUGAUAGGAUUAUUGUUUGUUGUACAAGAAAGAUUGGAAAGAUUUACGGCAUUUUCUUGGGAUUCCUGGAUAAUGGCAAAUCUUUCAAGAAAUCCUCAAGAUUAAGGUAUGAACAGUAAUGUUUUGGACUAAUUUUUCAAAAUUUAAUUGCGACAGUUAGACUAGACUUACAGGUACCAUGUAAUCGUCAAAAUGAAGCUGAACUUUUCAACAACGUGUUGUGAAAAAAUUGUUUAAUUUCGAGCAAAAAAUGUCAAGUUAUGGCCUUAAAUAGAAAAAGGCGUCAAAAUCUGAUUUUACCUUUCGUCAAAAACCAUAUUUUUCAACUUCAUACCAGGUUUCUGGAGAAUCGAAAAAUGGCCAAAUUUGGUCUCAAAUUUGUUUAAAGGGAAGUAAUUCACCUAAUAUAACUUCACAUAGAUCGAUUGAAAGAUUCAGGUCAACAUUGAGACGCAAUUCGCAGACAUUUGAUUUGAUUUGAUGAUUUUUCGCGGAUUGAAAAAGGACCUUAGGAAAAAGGACUCAGAUUUCGAAUAUUUCAAGAGAUUAUUCCCAAAUAAAAGAUCAGAACUUCAUCAAUAGAAUAAAAGUGACCUUUUGGCCUUUUUAUUUGGAAAUAAUCUCUCGAAAUAAUCGAAAUUUAAGUCCUUUUUUGAAAAGUCUUUUUUCUAUUGAAAAUAUAUGGUUUUUGACGAAAGGUAAAAUCAGAUUUUGACGCCUUUGUCUAUUUAAGGCCAUAACUUGACAUUUUUUGCUCGAAAUUAAACAAUUUUUUCACAACACGUUGUUGAAAAGUUCAGCUUCAUUUUGACGAUUACAUGGUACCUGUAAGUCUAGUCUAACUGUCGCAAUUAAAUUUUGAAAAAUUAGUCCAAAACAUUACUGUUCAUACCUCAUGAUUUGGAUCGAUUGGAUGUUUCCUUAUUCACUUGUUUUGGAUACCAGAAACUGUUGACCAAGUCCGAAUAUCGCUGUAAACCGUAAAUGUCUAAAUGGACCGUUGAAUGAAAAUGACCAGAAAAUCGUAUCGUCAUUUUGUCCUUUAACUGCAAAGUGGUUGCCAAACCAAUGGAGCUGAGAUUUAAUGUUUAACCAUCACUAUGAGUGUGACAGUUUCAAAAUGGUCAACAAGAUAAAUGAUCAAUUGUUUGGGAAAAUGUAAUUUAACUUUGUUUCUCCCUUGAAGAUUGAUUAAUGAUCUGUUGAUUAUAAUGGAAGUGCAGAAACAAUUGAAAUGACUGAUGCAGAGGUUACAAUUUUUGUUCAAUUGAUUUCUUUUCAAUGUUAUUAAACAUUGACUUUAAUUAAUUGAUUUUAUUCACAAUUAGAAACAUUGAAGUAACUUGUGAAUCGCAAGAGCCAAGCAUUUAUUAAUAGCAUCAUCUGCAACUCCGCAUGUUCAUUUCAUUGCUAAUGAGACUGACAAUUUGAUUCAAAUGUUUACAAUUUUAAAUAUGAAACAAUUAGUUUUCACAUUAAAUUGAGUUUCAAAACAAUCGCUAUAAAAUGUCAGGUUUGAGGUUUUUUUACUUGCUCAAGAUGAAUGGUUAAACGGAAAGUGUUUAAAUGAGUGAAAAUUAACUUUAAGUUAACAUUUAUUAAAACCAACUUUAUUAAUAAACUCAUUAUGAAUCGUAAUGAUUAAUAAUAAUGAGUGAAAUAAAAUGGUUGCAAGCAAAAAAAGCAUGAGAUGACAAUUUAAUGGGUAAACAGCAAUUUAAUGCAGCAACUGUGAUCAUUUAGAUUAUUUUGUUAACACAUUUAAUUGUAUUACCGAGUUGAAUCGUCAGUUAAACUGAUUAAUUAUACAACCAAAUGAAUAGACGUAUGUAAACAUUGUUAAUUUCAAACUCUACUUUCCUCCUAAUAAACCUAAUCACUUGUAGAUCAUUUGUGACAAUUUCAAUCAGUUUAAUAUUGAACCUUUAAAUGUUGAUUGUAACACUUGAUGGCGUAAAUUAAAGGCCUAAGGGAGUUUAGUUUUGCUCGUUAAUGUUUAUUAA
This is a non-coding RNA of Tetranychus urticae (two-spotted spider mite), 2584 nucleotides long. The record is from RefSeq and is a predicted model, not a curated record. Lineage: Eukaryota; Metazoa; Arthropoda; Arachnida; Trombidiformes; Tetranychidae.